CUACGGGUUGCUGCAGUGAGGAAUAUUGCACAAUGGGGGGAACCCUGAUGCAGCAACGCCGCGUGGAGGAUGACGCAUUUCGGUGUGUAAACUCCUUUUAUAUGUCAAGAAAAUGACGGUAGCAUAUGAAUAAGCACCGGCUAACUCCGUGCCAGCAGCCGCGGUAAUACGGAGGGUGCAAGCGUUACUCGGAAUCACUGGGCGUAAAGGACGCGUAGGCGGGCUUGUAAGUCAGGUGUGAAAUCCUACAGCUUAACUGUAGAACUGCACUUGAAACUACGAGCCUAGAGUAUGGGAGGGGGAGAUGGAAUUAGUGGUGUAGGGGUAAAAUCCGUAGAUAUCACUAGGAAUACCUAAAGCGAAGGCGAUCUCCUGGAACAUAACUGACGCUAAGGCGUGAAAGCGUGGGGAGCAAACAGGAUUAGAUACCCUAGUAGUC
RNAcentral lists this ribosomal RNA (439 nucleotides) under uncultured bacterium. RNAcentral's name for it is "partial 16S ribosomal RNA". It matches the Rfam family "Bacterial small subunit ribosomal RNA", at positions 339 to 795 of the family's 1533-position model. The record is from RNAcentral.